Molecule: transfer RNA, 74 nt
Filed under: Caudoviricetes sp.
Lineage: Duplodnaviria; Heunggongvirae; Uroviricota; Caudoviricetes
Description: tRNA-Thr
Rfam family: tRNA
About the family: Transfer RNA (tRNA) molecules are approximately 80 nucleotides in length. Their secondary structure includes four short double-helical elements and three loops (D, anti-codon, and T loops). Further hydrogen bonds mediate the characteristic L-shaped molecular structure. tRNAs have two regions of fundamental functional importance: the anti-codon, which is responsible for specific mRNA codon recognition, and the 3' end, to which the tRNAs corresponding amino acid is attached (by aminoacyl-tRNA synthetases). tRNAs cope with the degeneracy of the genetic code in two manners: having more than one tRNA (with a specific anti-codon) for a particular amino acid; and 'wobble' base-pairing, i.e. permitting non-standard base-pairing at the 3rd anti-codon position.
Source: RNAcentral
GCCGUUAUAGCUCAGCGGUAGAGCGCUUCCUUGGUAAGGAAGAGGUCUCGGGUUCAAGUCCCGAUAAUGGCUCA